AUUGAACGCUGGCGGCAGGCUUAACACAUGCAAGUCGAGCGGGGUGAUGGUGCUUGCACUAUCACUUAGCGGCGGACGGGUGAGUAAUGCUUAGGAAUCUGCCUAUUAGUGGGGGACAACAUCUCGAAAGGGAUGCUAAUACCGCAUACGUCCUACGGGAGAAAGCAGGGGAUCACUUGUGACCUUGCGCUAAUAGAUGAGCCUAAGUCGGAUUAGCUAGUUGGUGGGGUAAAGGCCUACCAAGGCGACGAUCUGUAGCGGGUCUGAGAGGAUGAUCCGCCACACUGGGACCGAGACACGGCCCAGACUCCUACGGGAGGCAGCAGUGGGGAAUAUUGGACAAUGGGGGGAACUCUGAUCCAGCCAUGCCGCGUGUGUGAAGAGGGCCUUAUGGUUGUAAAGCACUUUAAGCGAGGAGGAGGCUUACCUAGUUAAUACCUGGGAUAAGUGGACGUUACUCGCAGAAUAAGCACCGGCUAACUCUGUGCCAGCCGCCGCAGUAA
This 503-nucleotide ribosomal RNA is filed under the name uncultured bacterium. RNAcentral's name for it is "partial 16S ribosomal RNA". It matches the Rfam family "Bacterial small subunit ribosomal RNA", at positions 30 to 523 of the family's 1533-position model. The record is from RNAcentral.